RNAcentral lists this ribosomal RNA (427 nucleotides) under uncultured Ruminococcus sp. RNAcentral's name for it is "bacterial SSU rRNA". It matches the Rfam family "Bacterial small subunit ribosomal RNA", at positions 354 to 794 of the family's 1533-position model. The record is from RNAcentral. Lineage: Bacteria; Bacillati; Bacillota; Clostridia; Eubacteriales; Oscillospiraceae.
UGGGGGAAUAUUGGGGCAAUGGGCGAAAGCCUGACCCAGCAACGCCGCGUGAGGGAAGAAGGGUUUCGGCUCGUAAACCUCUGUCCUAUGGGACGAAGGAAGUGACGGUACCAUAGGAGGAAGCUCCGGCUAACUACGUGCCAGCAGCCGCGGUAAUACGUAGGGAGCAAGCGUUAUCCGGAAUUACUGGGUGUAAAGGGAGUGUAGGCGGGACUGUAAGUCAGAUGUGAAAUAUGCCGGCUCAACUGGCAGAUUGCAUUUGAAACUGUGGUUCUUGAGUGAAGUAGAGGUAAGCGGAAUUCCUGGUGUAGCGGUGAAAUGCGUAGAUAUCAGGAGGAACAUCAGUGGCGAAGGCGGCUUACUGGGCUUUAACUGACGCUGAGGCUCGAAAGCGUGGGGAGCAAACAGGAUUAGAUACCCUGGUAGU